RNAcentral lists this long non-coding RNA (2936 nucleotides) under Homo sapiens (human). RNAcentral describes it as "HSALNT0006369". Lineage: Eukaryota; Metazoa; Chordata; Mammalia; Primates; Hominidae. The record is from RNAcentral.
GAUAAUUCCCAGAUCCAGAGAAGUGGGGCCAGAAGGUCCUGGGAGCCCUCCGGAACUCUGCUGCCUGGCAGUCCUUCAGUUUCGGGAGCUUUUCUGUCUGCCCGUGGCCUCGGCUGCCACCUGGUGGCUGCACGCUCCAAAGGAAGCGUAGAUUGAUGAGAGCCUCGGAAGUUGAGCUUCAGGCGCGGCUCUUCCCCGUCACACUGGGACCGGACGCAUUUCCAUGGCGUGGUCCCAGGAACCUCUCAGGUCAUGCCAGCAACUGGGACUUCCUGUGGAAUGCAAGGGCAGUGGGGCCUCCGCGAGAGAGAGAGAGAGAGAGAGAGAGAGAAGAGAGAGAUAUUAAGGAUGAAUCCCAGUGUCUGCUCUGAGCAAAUUGGAAGACGAUGGCAUCAGGGGCACUGCUCUGGGCUAUAUAGACUGUGCCUCCACUAAAGGGUCCCUGAGACCAGGUGUGGGCCCGUAUCCCUGGAGGGAGAGGUAACUUCCUCUGAUUCGAAGGCAUCAUAUAGGCUAGUGAAUGGCACUGAGAAUGGCAGAUGCCAGGGACAAGCAGGAGCAUGUGUGGGAUGAGGAUGCGGCGUGGAUGUGUGACGUUUCAGAGCCUGCAACACAUCCGUAGGGAAGUCCUGGAGGAGCAGUUGGGUGCAUGGUGGAGUUCUGAAACAGCUGGGCAGUCGGCACUUGAGCCAGAGAUUCUGCUUUCGACCUGGAUGCCCAUUGAGAGGUUAAGAGCUCAGGUCUGGGUCAGGCAGCUUGGAAGCAGCACAGCUUGGACACUUGGUAGCCUGGGACUGUGGUUAAAUCAACGUGACUCUCGGAGCUCCAGUUCACUGUAAAUUAGGGCAGUAAAUGAUGUCUACAUGAUAAGUGGUGUUAUGAAUGUUAAACAUUCACAUGAAAUACAUAGAAUAGUGCUUAGCAUACAGUACACAAUAACUGUUAGCUAUUUGGAAAAUUACUAUUGUUAUUAUGAUUAUUUAUUACAGAGUGAACUGAAUUGGAUGCAAGAUCACGGUGCGUCAGAGCUAGCAAGAUCCUUAGGAUCAUUUAGCCUGGUUUACUAAUAUUACACUAUGGAAUUUAAGCCCAAGGAAUGGAGAGUACCCGACGAGCGUUAUGUAAGGAGUCGAGUGAGAAGUAAGCUGGAUGCUCUGCUUGGCUGGCAGGUACAGAAUGUGCCAGACCCAUCUGUACCAGCCUGGAUCUCUUGAGGCAUCAGCACAAUGGACCUGGCCACACCAGUUUAUUCCACACCGCUGAGGCUGGUCUUUGAGGAAUCACCACACUGUCUUCCACAAUGCACCAUGGAAUACUAUGCAGACAUAAAAAGGAAUGAGAUCAUGUCGUUUGCAGGGACAUGGAUGGAGCUAGAAGCCAUUAUCCUCAGAAAACUAACACAGGAACAGAAAACCAAAUACCACAUGUUCUCACUUAUAAGUGGGAGCUGAAUGAUGAGAACACAUGGACACGUGGUGCGGGAACAAUACACCUGGGGCCUGUUGGAGGGUGGGGGCUGGGAGGAGGGAGAGCAUCAAGAAUAGCUAAUGAGGCCAGGCACAGUGGCUCACGCCUGUAAUCCUAGCAUUUUGGGAGGCUGAGGCGGGCAGAUCAUUUGAGGUCAGGAGUUUGAGACCAGCCUGGCCAAUAUGGUGAAACCCCGUCUCUAUUAAAAAUACAAAAAUAUUAGCCAGGCAUGGUGGCAAUGCCCGUAGUCCCUGCAACUUGGGAGGCUGAGGCAGGAGAAUCGUUUGAACCUGGGAGGUGGAGUUUGCAGUGAGCCAAGAUCGCGCCACUGCACUCCAGCCUGGGCGACAGAGUGAGGCUCCAUUAAAAAAAAAAAAAAAAAAAGAAGAGCAAAUGAAUGCUGGGCAUAAUAUCUAGAUGAUGGGAUGAUCUGUGCAGCAAACCACUAUGGCACAUGUUUACCUAUGUAACAAACCUGCACAUCCUCCACAUGUACCCCUGAACUUAAGAGUUGGAAAUCAAAAAGAAAAAAGGUAUUAACUCAAAAUAAAAACAGUGUGUACUAUUUUUCUAAUCAGCAAAUGUUAUUUUAUUUUUUACUAUUAUUUUUAGAGUCGAUAUCUUGCUCUGUCACACAGUCUGGAGUGCAGUGGCAUGAUUAGCUUUGAAUUCCUGUUCAAGUGAUCCUCCCACCUCAGUCUCCAGAGUAGCUAGGGCUACAGGCAGUGCUGCCACACCUGGAUAAUUUUUAAAUUUUUUAUAGAGUUGGGGUCUUGCUAUGUUGCCCAGGCUUGUCUCAGACUCCUGGCCUUAAGUGAUCCUCCUGCCUCUGUCUUCUGAGUCGCUGGAUUACAGGUAUGAGCCACCAUGCUCAGCAGAAAAUUAAAUUUUUUUUUAACAAGUCAUUAGUUCCUGGGAAUUCUAUUUCACUUCCAAAUCCACCUCAUUUUGCAGUGCCCUGUUCUUAGUAGUCCUGGUUUAGGAAGAGUCGUGUUUCACAUGAUCAAGGUAGCCAACACAAUGAAAGUUGAGUUCACAGAGUAUUUAUUUAUUUUGGUCCCUCACAGAGUAUCUAUUUAUUUUUGGUCCCUCACAGAGUAUUUGUUUAUUUUUGUUCCCUCAAAUAAUUCAGCACAAUUAAAUUCAGCAAAUAUUUAUUGAACACUUGGAGAUGAUGAUGGAAAAUUAUGUUCACAUGGUGCCAUUUGGUACAACGGAAAUGGCAUGAGAUUUGGACCAAACCAGAAUUGUCUUAAAUCCUGGCUUUGUUAGUUUUAGGUAUGUCAUCUUGAGCAGUUCACUUCACUUUUUGAGCCACAAUUUCUCUUCCUUACAUAAAGAUAUUUAUAAAUACCCCACAGGUUGUUAUAAUAAAGGUUGAAGAUGCUUGGCACAUAAGCAAAAAUUAUGAAUAAAUAUGUAUUAAAAUAUAAAAUAACUACAAAAUAAAAUAAAAAUAUUGUUUUUCU